RNAcentral lists this transfer RNA (75 nucleotides) under Planctomycetota bacterium. RNAcentral's name for it is "Planctomycetes bacterium (hydrothermal vent metagenome) tRNA-Pro". It matches the Rfam family "tRNA". From Rfam's summary of the family: Transfer RNA (tRNA) molecules are approximately 80 nucleotides in length. Their secondary structure includes four short double-helical elements and three loops (D, anti-codon, and T loops). Further hydrogen bonds mediate the characteristic L-shaped molecular structure. tRNAs have two regions of fundamental functional importance: the anti-codon, which is responsible for specific mRNA codon recognition, and the 3' end, to which the tRNAs corresponding amino acid is attached (by aminoacyl-tRNA synthetases). tRNAs cope with the degeneracy of the genetic code in two manners: having more than one tRNA (with a specific anti-codon) for a particular amino acid; and 'wobble' base-pairing, i.e. permitting non-standard base-pairing at the 3rd anti-codon position. Lineage: Bacteria; Pseudomonadati; Planctomycetota. The record is from RNAcentral.
CGGGACGUGGCGCAGUCUGGAUAGCGCGCUUGACUGGGGGUCAAGAGGUCGCGGGUUCAAAUCCCGCCGUCCCGA